AUUAAAUAAGAUUCCUUUAGUAGCGGCGAGCGAAACAGGAUUAGCCCAGCACUAAGUCAUCCAAUUUUUAUGAUUGGUAUGAGAUGCAGUGUAUGGAAAGUCUAUUAUCUGGUGUUGUAUUCAAUACGUUCAAGUCCAUCUUGAAUGGGGCCAAUAUAUCCACAGAGGGUGCCAGGCCCGUAGAAGCUAUUGUUUUGCAUCAGAAGGCUUUUCCAAAGAGUCGUGUUGCUUGAUAGUGCAGCACUAAGUGGGUGGUAAACUCCAUCUAAGGCUAAAUAUAACC
Molecule: ribosomal RNA, 283 nt
Filed under: Clinodiplosis cilicrus
Lineage: Eukaryota; Metazoa; Arthropoda; Insecta; Diptera; Cecidomyiidae
Also listed under: 1 other name
Description: partial 28S ribosomal RNA
Rfam family: Eukaryotic large subunit ribosomal RNA
Source: RNAcentral